GAUGAACGCUGGCGGCGUGCCUAAUACAUGCAAGUCGAGCGAACAGACGAGGAUCUUGCUCCUCUGACGUUAGCGGCGGACGGGUGAGUAACACGUGGAUAACCUACCUAUAAGACUGGGAUAACUUCGGGAAACCGGAGCUAAUACCGGAUAAUAUAUUGAACCGCAUGGUUCAAUAGUGAAAGACGGUUUUGCUGUCACUUAUAGAUGGAUCCGCGCCGCAUUAGCUAGUUGGUAAGGUAACGGCUUACCAAGGCAACGAUGCGUAACCGACCUGAGAGGGUGAUCGGCCACACUGGAACUGAGACACGGUCCAGACUCCGACGGGAAGCAGCAGUAGGGAAUCUUCCGCAAGGGGCGAAAGCUUGACGGAGCAACGCCGCGUGAGUGAUGAAGGUCUUCGGAUCGUAAAACUCUGUUAUUAGGGAAGAACAAAUGUGUAAGUAACUAUGCACGUCUUGACGGUAACUAAUCAGAAAGCCACGGCUAACUACGUG
RNAcentral lists this ribosomal RNA (497 nucleotides) under uncultured bacterium. Its description in RNAcentral is "partial 16S ribosomal RNA". It matches the Rfam family "Bacterial small subunit ribosomal RNA", at positions 28 to 507 of the family's 1533-position model. The record is from RNAcentral.